AGAGUUUGAUCAUGGCUCAGGACGAACGCUGGCGGCGUGCUUAACACAUGCAAGUGGUGCGACGAACCAGGGCUUGCCCUGGGGCAAAGCCGCGAACGGGUGAGUAACACGUGAGUAACCUGCCCCGAUGACCGGGACAACCCGAGGAAACUCGGGCUAAUACCGGAUGUGGCGCACAGGUGUAAGCCUGUUCGCUAAAGGAAGCUUCGGCCUCCGCAUUGGGAGGGGCUCGCGGCCCAUUAGCUUGUUGGUGGGGUAACGGCCUACCAAGGCAACGAUGGGUAGCUGGUCUGAGAGGACGAUCAGCCACACUGGGACUGAGACACGGCCCAGACUCCUACGGGAGGCAGCAGUGGGGAAUCUUGCGCAAUGCGCGAAAGCGUGACGCAGCAACGCCGCGUGGGGGAAGACGGCCUUCGGGUUGUAAACCCCUUUCAGGAGGGACGAAGGUUCGCCGGUGAAUAGCCGUGCGGACUGACGGUACCUCCACAAGAAGCUCCGGCUAACUACGUGCCAGCAGCCGCGGUAAUACGUAGGGAGCAAGCGUUGUCCGGAAUCAUUGGGCGUAAAGCGCGCGUAGGUGGCCUCAUAAGUCCGCUGUGAAAGUCAAAGGCUCAACCUUUGAAAGCCGGUGGAUACUGUGAGGCUAGAGUACGGAAGAGGCGAGUGGAAUUCCUGGUGUAGCGGUGGAAUGCGCAGAUAUCAGGAGGAACACCAAUAGCGAAGGCAGCUCGCUGGGACGUUACUGACACUGAGGCGCGAAAGCGUGGGGAGCGAACAGGAUUAGAUACCCUAGUAGUCC
This 802-nucleotide ribosomal RNA is filed under the name uncultured bacterium. RNAcentral describes it as "bacterial SSU rRNA". It matches the Rfam family "Bacterial small subunit ribosomal RNA", at positions 8 to 796 of the family's 1533-position model. The record is from RNAcentral.